Molecule: ribosomal RNA, 500 nt
Filed under: uncultured bacterium
Lineage: Bacteria
Description: partial 16S ribosomal RNA
Rfam family: Bacterial small subunit ribosomal RNA
Source: RNAcentral
AUUGAACGCUGGCGGAAUGCUUUACACAUGCAAGUCGAACGGCAGCACGGACCUCGGUCUGGUGGCGAGUGGCGAACGGGUGAGUAAUGUAUCGGAACGUGCCCAGUCGUGGGGGAUAACGUAGUGAAAAUUACGCUAAUACCGCAUACGAUCUAUGGAUGAAAGCGGGGGAUCGCAAGACCUCGCGCGAUUGGAGCGGCCGAUAUCAGAUUAGGUAGUUGGUGGGGUAAAGGCCCACCAAGCCAACGAUCUGUAGCUGGUCUGAGAGGACGACCAGCCACACUGGAACUGAGACACGGUCCAGACUCCUACGGGAGGCAGCAGUGGGGAAUUUUGGACAAUGGGCGAAAGCCUGAUCCAGCCAUUCCGCGUGCAGGAUGAAGGCCCUCGGGUUGUAAACUGCUUUUGUACAGAACGAAAAGGUUUCUACUAAUACUAGGAGCUCAUGACGGUACUGUAAGAAUAAGCACCGGCUAACUACGUGCCAGCCGCCGCAAACA